This 230-nucleotide ribosomal RNA is filed under the name uncultured bacterium. RNAcentral's name for it is "partial 16S ribosomal RNA". It matches the Rfam family "Bacterial small subunit ribosomal RNA", at positions 562 to 791 of the family's 1533-position model. The record is from RNAcentral.
AAAGCGUGCGCAGGCGGUUAUAUAAGACAGAUGUGAAAUCCCCGGGCUCAACCUGGGAACUGCAUUUGUGACUGUAUAGCUGGAGUGCGGCAGAGGGGGAUGGAAUUCCGCGUGUAGCAGUGAAAUGCGUAGAUAUGCGGAGGAACACCGAUGGCGAAGGCAAUCCCCUGGGCCUGCACUGACGCUCAUGCACGAAAGCGUGGGGAGCAAACAGGAUUAGAUACCCUUGU